UGGGGAAUAUUGCACAAUGGGCGCAAGCCUGAUGCAGCCAUGCCGCGUGUGUGAAGAAGGCCUUCGGGUUGUAAAGCACUUUCAGCGAGGAGGAAGGCGUUAAGGUUAAUAACCUUAGCGAUUGACGUUACUCGCAGAAGAAGCACCGGCUAACUCCGUGCCAGCAGCCGCGGUAAUACGGAGGGUGCAAGCGUUAAUCGGAAUUACUGGGCGUAAAGCGCACGCAGGCGGUUUGUUAAGUCAGAUGUGAAAUCCCCGAGCUUAACU
This 267-nucleotide ribosomal RNA is filed under the name uncultured bacterium. RNAcentral's name for it is "partial 16S ribosomal RNA". It matches the Rfam family "Bacterial small subunit ribosomal RNA", at positions 355 to 614 of the family's 1533-position model. The record is from RNAcentral.